UACGUAGGGGGCAAGCGUUGUCCGGAAUCAUUGGGCGUAAAGAGCGUGUAGGCGGCUUGGUAAGUCCGCUGUGAAAGUCCAGGGCUCAACCCUGGAAAGCCGGUGGAAACUGUCAAGCUUGAGUCCGGAAGAGGCGAGUGGAAUUCCUGGUGUAGCGGUGAAAUGCGUAGAGAUGUGGAGGAACACCAGUGGCGAAGGCGACUCUUUGGUCUGUAACUGACGCUGAGGCGCGAAAGCGUGGGGAGCAAACAGG
Molecule: ribosomal RNA, 253 nt
Filed under: uncultured bacterium
Lineage: Bacteria
Description: partial 16S ribosomal RNA
Rfam family: Bacterial small subunit ribosomal RNA
Source: RNAcentral